Molecule: long non-coding RNA, 382 nt
Filed under: Androctonus crassicauda
Lineage: Eukaryota; Metazoa; Arthropoda; Arachnida; Scorpiones; Buthidae
Source: RNAcentral
GUAACUGACCUCGAAAUAUGGUAUAAAAGCCACUCUAUACUUCAAUUUCUCCAGAUCUGCUUGCUCCAGACAGAACCUUCUCAAAAAUGAAAUCUGUAAUUGCCAUUUUCCUUUUGGCUUUGGUAGCCACUGCUUUGGCAGGAUAUCUCGGCUACGGCGGUCCAUUUGGCUAUGGCUACGGUUACGCAUACCCAACCAGCACUGUUGUUUACAGUUCAAGCGCAUAUGGAUUCAGACCUUAUGGAUUCGGAUAUGGAUAUGGUCCAUAUGGUUAUGGAUAUGGAUUAGGAUACGGAGGUUACGGAUACGGUUUGGGCUACGGAAGAUUCGGCUACGGUUAUGGUUUGGGCUACGGAAGAUUCGGCUACGGUUAUGGUUUGGG